UAGCGGCGAACCGGUGAGUAACACGUAGGCAACCUACCCUUCGGUGGGGGACACGGACCUUCGGGUCCCAAAUUCCCCAUAAGUACCCCGGAACCCUGGUUCCAGGGUGGAAAGCUCCUGCGCAAGCAGUUCCGCCGAAGGAUGGGCCUGCGGCCUAUCAGCUUGUUGGUGAGGUAACGGCCCACCAAGGCGAUGACGGGUAGCCGGACUGAGAGGUCGGCCGGCCACGCUGGGACUGAGAUAUGGUCCAGUCCGCGUUGGCGGAUAGCAUCAGGGAAUCUUGCGCAAUGGGCGAAAGCCUGACGCAGCGACGCCGCGUGGGGGAUGAAGGCCUUCGGGUUGUAAACCCCUGUCGUGGGGGAAGAAAGUCCACGCAAGUGGCCUUGACGGUACCCCACAAGAAAGCCCCAGCUAACUGCGUGCCAGCAGCUGCGGUAAGACGUAGGGGGCUAGCGUUGUCCGGAUUUACUGGGCGUAAAGCGCAAGUAGGUGGCUCGGUAAGUUGAUUGUGGAAUCCCUGGGCUCAACCCAGGAACUGCAUUCAAUACUGCCAAGCUCGAGGGCCGGAGAAAGGGAGUGGAAUUCCCGGUGUAACGGUGAAAUGUGUAGAUAUCGGGAGGAACACCAGUGGCGAAGGCGGCUCCCUAGACGGCCCCUGACACUGAAUUGCGAAAGCUAGGGCAGCGAACGGGAUUAGAUACCCCGGUAGUCCUAGCCGUAAACGAUGCUCACUAGGUGUUGGGAACUUCGACCUUCCCAGUGCCGAAGCUAACGCAUUAAGUGAGCCGCCUGGGGAGUACGGCCGCAAGGCUAAAACUCAAAGGAAUUGACGGGGGCCCGCACAAGCGGUGGAGCAUGUGGGUCAAUCCGACGCUACGCGAAGAACCUUACCAGGGCUUGACAUGUUUCUGUAAGCUGAGGAAACUCAGCCCUCUCAGCCUUCGGGCUGGGACGGAUUCACAGGUGGUGCAUGGUUGUCGUCAGCUCGUGCCGUGAGGUGUUGGGUUAAGUCCCGCAACGAGCGCAACCCUCAUCAGGUGUUGCCAGCGGUCCUUCGGGAGCCGGGCUCUCACCUGAAACUGCCGGAGUAAUCCGGAGGAAGGUGAGGAUGACGUCAAAUCGGCAUGCCCCUUAUGCCCUGGGCUCCACACAUGCUACAAUGGCGCGUACAAAGGGUUGCCAAGCCGCAAGGUGGAGCUAAUCCCCUAAAACGCGCCUCAGUUGGGAUCGGAGUCUGCAACUCGACUCCGUGAACGUGGAAUCGCUAGUAACCGUAGAUCAGCUACGCUGCGGUGAAUACGUUCCCGGGCCUUGUACACAC
This 1321-nucleotide ribosomal RNA is filed under the name uncultured bacterium. RNAcentral describes it as "bacterial SSU rRNA". It matches the Rfam family "Bacterial small subunit ribosomal RNA", at positions 93 to 1390 of the family's 1533-position model. The record is from RNAcentral.